CCUGAUAAGUCCCUGAGCCGAGAUCAAAACAUUGCACCUCAUGUGUGGAAGCCCUUUCAUUUGCAAUGAUGGAUGUCUCUUUGGUUUUUCAGCCCAUCUCUCCCCAGCAAUCUGCAACGCUUCUGCUUUUGCGUGUCUUUCAUUGAACCACGCAACAAGCCUGUAGAAGGUGAAUUCAACGAUUGCGUUCACAGGCAUACCACGUAUCCCCAAUAACAACUUAUUGAAUGACUCGGACAUGUUACUGCACUGAAAC
RNAcentral lists this long non-coding RNA (256 nucleotides) under Setaria italica (foxtail millet). RNAcentral's name for it is "long non-coding RNA (SITA_LNC000519)". Lineage: Eukaryota; Viridiplantae; Streptophyta; Magnoliopsida; Poales; Poaceae. The record is from RNAcentral.